GCAUUUUAUUCUAUAUCGCCUUUUUUCUUCAAAUCUGCUCCAGUCACUUACUUCUCUCUUAUAAGCUAAUCCUGCCUCACACCUUAAAUCUGUUUCAGUGAUCAAGGGCAGAACUCAUUGUGGCCUUAUCUUUCUUUGUUGUAACUGUUCACCGUCUCUUUCUUACAGACCACUUAUUUCUGAGUAGUAGUUAUUCCUCUCUAUGGAGUCAUGGCAGGAGUCAUUACACAGUGCUUUUGUUCAGAGCAUGGACAUGUUCCUAGUGCUGCUUUGCUUUAACGGCCACAAGUUUCCUCCACUUCCUAGGUUUGGUAUUUAGUUAAGGAAUCAUAUUAAAUUAACCAAUAAUAAAAGAGAUACUUUUGAAGAACAAACUAUUCUUUACCCAUUUUUGUAGCUCAAAAAUAAUUUUUCAAGUUCAUGACCUUAUUAAAAUGAACUUGUGCUUUUUUAACAAACGUUUAUGUUUUGAUUGUUUCUUUCCAUAAGAUAAUAUAAAUAUUAUACUGUAAACCCUUUUCUUUUUUUUUUGAAAAGUCCAAGAAUGUACUUAUACAGGCAUUUUUCCCCACCUAUUUUUGGCCAUUCUCAUACCACAGACUAAAGAGUGAAAUGAUUUGUCCAUUGUAGCUUAUUGUUUAUCAGUAGUUCUUUUGUCAGCUGCUUACAUUUUUUCUUUCAUGGUUUUGUGAAUCAUUUUCAGUAUGUAAUUUAUAGGAACCUUGUCCUCUGAUUAUAGUAGACUCUGUCCCCUCCUCCAGUGAUGGCAUUAUUAGACAUGCUGGUCAUUUACCCUCAGAAAGACUCUCUUAUUAGAAUGGUGAGUGCUUCAGUUAUAGUAUGUUUGAAUUUUUAAAAAAUUCUGUUUUAGAAAUGUAUCUUAUGCUCUCAUGACUCUAUGCAAUUUCUAAACAUACACAUAGAAGCUGAGUCUCUGAUCCGAUAUGUUUUUAUUUGUUCCAUUUAAUUUAUCACAUAGAUUGGGAAGGCAAGCUAAAAGCCUUAAAAAUGCCCUUUAUAUUUUGAGUGAUUUCAGCGUUGAACACUAGUAUACUAUCUAAAUUUGCUGCUCACUUUCUUUAAACUGUGGCAAUUAAAGGCAUCCUUAUACAUGACUUAAUCGUGAAAUGUUUGUCACUCUUACUGCACAGACUUAUCUGCAAUCAUAACUGGUUAGUUUUUUGUUUUGUUUUGUUUUAUUGUUUUUAAUGAAACUGGUACCAUCUGUGCUUUCACAAAAAACUUCCAAUGCCAUUUUUGAGAACUAACCUAACUAGUCAUGCUAACCAGAAAAUCCACUGGGGAGGAGGUUCCUUUUGAAACAAAAUGCUGUUCAGUUAGUAACCAAGUUACUUUGAUUGCAAAAGCAGCUGUGUUUCUGAUGAGUACUGAACAAAUGUGUGUAAUUUUCUGUGCCAGACUUACGACUUUGUUUUCAAGCACUGUAAUGUGGGAUGGAUGGUUAGAAACAAUAAUAUAUUAGGGUUUCUGUUUAACCCUUUCAGGACUGAACUGUAUCUCCUUUUGUUAAUUUUCCCCUGUGUCGUGAUAAAUGUUUGCCAGCAUUCAGUACUGUGUUGGUCCAGAUGUAGGUUUAUAUGCUCAUUUUUAGCUUAUUUCUUGUACCUUGCAGCAUGCUUUACACAUUCAGUCCUUAAGGGGUUUAUUUUACAAACUGUGCGCCUGUAAGGUUUAUUAGCAAUAAGAUAGAAAAUUGAGCAAGUUUAUACCAUAAUUUUGUAGAAAAAAAAGAAUCUGCUCAGUUCCAUAUUUCAUCCAUGAAAAACUUGCAAUACGAGCAGUUUCAAGGAAUAAAUAAAAAGGAAAUGUAAACCAUU
Molecule: long non-coding RNA, 1838 nt
Filed under: Pongo abelii (Sumatran orangutan)
Lineage: Eukaryota; Metazoa; Chordata; Mammalia; Primates; Hominidae
Description: lncRNA (ENSPPYG00000033064.1)
Source: RNAcentral